Pogoniulus pusillus (Red-fronted tinkerbird) is the source of this 1435-nucleotide long non-coding RNA. RefSeq lists it as uncharacterized. The record is from RefSeq and is a predicted model, not a curated record. Lineage: Eukaryota; Metazoa; Chordata; Aves; Piciformes; Lybiidae. The transcript is spliced from 2 exons.
UUGUCUUCUUCCUUAUGAGUCCAGCCACCACGAACCAGCAAGGCAUCUACAGGGCAGCAGUGCACCACUGCAUGUUUGCUCCCAAGGCUUUUUGGCAAGGGGAAGAACAUGCCAAGUCAUAGUUUGCUUCUUCCAUCCUCCAAUGAAGUGUUAAUGCAGUGGUAAGCAAUAUCUAAAGUACUCCCUCAUUCUUUCUUCUGCUUUCUAAGGAGGCAUUUUGGAAUAAAAUUGACUCCUUUCAGCUUCUUUCCAGAGGAAAUCAAGGCAGAACAUUGACCAAAGACAGCCUUGGCCAAAGGAGUGUCAGCUCCAUGUAAUAAGAACAAGAGUCACAGCAAGUGCAGGCAUGGAAGCAGCUGACAGCUUCAGGCAGGACAGGUAGAUGGAGGUUUUUUUUCCCUAGAGCAGACCAGCAAAUUCCAGCCAAGAAACCUUUCUUUUAUAUGCACAUUUAUAGGAGCGAUUCCAGUAGCAAGUGGUGUGCAUUUUGUGUGGAAUGGCUCCUGACAGCUGUGUUGUUUUACUUACUCCUUGUCUGUAUUUUUAAGUUUUUAAAACUCCUAAUAAUUCCAAAUGUCAGACAUUUUUCCUUUGAGACAGGGUGGAACAGUCUGGAAGUCAGGAAGGAGGCAGUGGUUCUUUUGAGCAUUCCCGUGAGUGAAUUUAAGACACAAAUGUAUGAUACAGCAAAACAAGACUUACUUACGGCAGAGAAAGAAGAGAUUGAGAAAGAGAGAGAAAGAGAAUGGAAAAGAGAGCUGGAGAGGUAAUUACCGCCCUGGGGUUCUUCUUCAGCAGGGUGGUGGUGGUGGGAGACUUUCCGGGGCUGUUGUCUCCAGCCUGAGAUGUCCCAGGCGAUGUUUCCCCAGCUCAGCUGGCAUAUACUGUUCAUGCUUCCUUUGUCGUAGCUGCACCUGGCCCACACCAUCAUCACAUUACGACGCAUAUGUGACUUCCCGAUGCCUCCCUGAGGGCUUUCAGGGAUCAGCGCUGAGUGACUGCAGUCUCUCUUAGCCACUACCAGCACAGCUGACACAUCAGGCAGGUCUUUCAGGGUGGUCGUUGUGGAGAUGCUUUUCAUGUUCCUAAUGUAAUGACCACCUUCACAAGGUGGUGAUUUUCAUGUUCAGGAGAAGAUUACCACACACCACAAGCUGGCCUGUCAAGUCUGUGUCCUCAGGAACUGCUGCACUGCCUUGAACCUCCAUUCUCCUUUACGGGCAUUGGCAGUGCCCUUGCAGGAAGCACUGCAAGCCCCUUUCUAGCUGGCCUGUCAAUACCUAUCAUGUGAGAUUGGGUCUGGCAAAAGCCACUGAUGCCUGAAGCACCUGCGUGAGAGCUACCAAGUGGCAUUCUAGUAACUGAGGAGACAGAAUAAACAUCGCACUUGGAACAUCAGAGUUCUGACUAAAUAAAGUAUUAUUCUUCUCUCCAA